UGCACGCAUUUCAUGCACGCAUUGAAAUUUUCCUUGGAAAUCCACUAUCACGCGAAGCGAAACUGGCUUUCGCUAUCACACCGUUGAAAUCCAAAAUCAUUUUUUUUUGGGGGGGGGUCGUGUCAUGUCCACACGGAUUUCAAAAUAAAUUUGCUCGUGCUGAAGUCCUGAAAGUUAGAAUUUCGUUCCCACUGCUAACACGAGAAAGAAAAUACAAAUCAACAUGAGCGUAGCCCCAAGUUUCCGUUGCUUCAAAUUUAAAUUUGUGCUUCAGGCAGUGCUUCUAGCGGCUUUGGCGGGAGGUACCUACGGCCAAGGGUAUCGCUAUCCGUGGUGCGAAUUCUUCGGUUUCGACAAAAUUGCGAACAUCCAGUUUGUGGCCGGAGACAUUUUGAGAGUCAGGGUUGGGGACAGUAUAUGUACGCAACAAGUCCCAAUUCGCUCAUCCUCCUGGAGACCAGUUUCACUUCAUAUUACAUCCACAUUCGAAAGGUGGAAUCCACCUCUAACUUCUACCGAAACGGCAUGGCUAAAAGGAUGGAAAGGACCCAGCUUCAACUAACGUUUGCGCCUAAAGGAGUCGCGCUGGCUAACUAUUUGGCUAACAGGUGGUGGCCGUUUCGCGUGACGCACUGCAACGACGUCCAUUACAUAAGGUAUAUUGCAUUUGGUGAGACCCUCCAGGCAGACUUUUGCCCACUGGGCAGAGAUUUGAACGACGUGGCAGUCGACGUAAUAAGUAACCCGUUCAAUGAAUUCGUUCUUUGGGGAGGCCGAACACUUCUUUAUCAAUAUCGCCGAAGUGGAAGGCCGGAAGGCAGAAGCAAGUCUUAGAGGGCAGGGGCGAGGCGUGAGUGGUCGAUUUAAAAAAAGUUUUUUAAAUUAAUCAUUGUUUGAACUGAGAAAAAAGCCAAUGUUGAUUCGGUUCCUGUUAUAUAUAUCGAUUUUCCUCAAUUUGAAGCUACGGUAUAGAAUCUAUUAAUAAGGUGUUCAUUGCGAACACCCUGUUUAUCGAUCCUUUUAGGUAGCUUUCAAUAUCAACGAUAUAUCGCACGCCACGCCGCUGAAAGGGCUGUGUGAGGAAGUGAGGGCUGUGUGGGCUAUCAAGGCGUGUGAGGCUGUGCGGCGCACAGUGGAACGAGCUAGAAGAAGAGGUCGGACACAAAACUUUUGUCUAAAAUUUCAAAUUUUGAUAAAUAUUACGUCACAAAUUCAAUUUCAAGGGGUGUUUCUGAAGGGAAAUUUCACGAUAAAACCAACAGAGCCACUCUGAAAUUUUUUGUUUCAUAUUUUCGAAAAUAUAAGCUUUCAAAGUUUCCAGAAUUUGUCUAUGUUCUCCCAUUCACUCGAUCCACUGUGCGGCGGUCACUAAUGGUGAGUUGGGUCAGUCAGGGUCACUUACGGGUCACCGAUGUCGAGGAACAAAAGUUUAACGGGAUCAUACACGGCUAUUUGUAGAAAUAAAUAAAUUGACUUUACAAUUAACU
RNAcentral lists this long non-coding RNA (1487 nucleotides) under Bemisia tabaci. RNAcentral describes it as "lncRNA ENSASIAIIG006056". The record is from RNAcentral. Lineage: Eukaryota; Metazoa; Arthropoda; Insecta; Hemiptera; Aleyrodidae.